GGCUACAGUACAGCACACGCAUUGUUUCAGAAAAACCUUUCUUUAUCCGGUACAGUGCCACUGAGUUUUCUGUACACAACAAAUUGAGUUGGGCAAGUAUAAGCGACAAACAGAACAAAUAGAAUUUCAAAUAAAGCAGUUUCCUAAACUUUCAACAAUGCACAUUUUACUCACAUUCGCCAUCUUUUCCGUCUGUUUAGCCAUCUCAACAGUUUCUCGAGUUGAGGCGAAUGCUGGUCCAUCAUGGAUUCUUAGCGAAUACGAAGGAUGCAAGGGAUUUUGCAGAACUCCAAUCCGAUACCGCCUCAAGUACAAAAAUCACUUAUGCAAUCUUAAGUACUGUCCGGACCAUGAUGUAAUAAGGGAGCGGUCUGUUGGCACCGGCGACGAAUUACAGGAAGUGGACUAAGUUAACACUUCCGCUGAAGCAAAAACUAGCUCUACUACGACUACAGCAGAUCAAAUUGAAGGAUCUAGAAAUAAAACUUAUUUCAUUAGCAGAAAGUUGGCAUUGAUUCGUUCAUGUUCUAAUACUCCGCUGUUGGUAACUGAUGUUUCUCUUUUGUUUGAAAGAAAUACACGUGUGUUACCAA
This is a long non-coding RNA of Daphnia pulicaria, 593 nucleotides long. RefSeq lists it as uncharacterized. The record is from RefSeq and is a predicted model, not a curated record. The transcript is spliced from 2 exons. Lineage: Eukaryota; Metazoa; Arthropoda; Branchiopoda; Diplostraca; Daphniidae.